GCAUUGAAAUUAUCAUCCAGUAGUAUAUUACUAGGCUUAAUAUCGCCGUGAAUCGCUGGUGGGUCACAGAAAUGGUGCAAGUACUCCAACCCUUUAGCUAUAUCAAGAGCAAUUGUAAACCUCUUUUUCCAAUCCUUCAAUUCACUACACUUGCGAUGCAAAAGGCAGUCUUGUAAGCUUCCGUUAGCUAAAAGCUCGUAAACUAGUAGCAUACGACGGCCUCUUUGAUCGGAAGAGAAACCAAUAGUGGAAACAAUGUAUUUAGAAUCAAUUUUCCCAGCGAAAAAGAGUUCGUUCUGAAAUUCACGCUCACCUUGCAAGGACCCAGCGUCCAUGACUUUAACAGCAACCGAGACAUUAGAAUUGGUAGUUGGGCUUUUGACAGUUCCUCUGUAAACAGACCCAAACCCACCUUGACCCAGACGAAGCGAUGGAGAGAAUUUAGAGGUGGCUCGACGGAGAGAGGUGUAUGAGAACCGGUGAGGGGGUUUUGACUCUGAAUCGGAAGAGGGAACGGUUCGCUUCAAGCUUAUUUUCCGGAAGCAUAAAGUGAAGAGAAUAAGGAGAGAUGCAGCAGCGGCUAUUCCUCCGGCGAGAGGUGCCAAUAGAUUGUGGCUCUGACGGUGAACAUGCUGCGGCGGCGGCGACAACAGCGGCAACGGCGGUAGUGAACGGAGUUCACGCGAUGGCAUGAUUGAAAUUGAUGAAAGAAAAAAAAAAUUUACAGAAAUGAAUGAUUUAUGAAGUGAAAAAUCAACAUAAGUUUU
This 767-nucleotide unclassified non-coding RNA is filed under the name Hevea brasiliensis (rubber tree). The record is from RNAcentral. Lineage: Eukaryota; Viridiplantae; Streptophyta; Magnoliopsida; Malpighiales; Euphorbiaceae.